Molecule: ribosomal RNA, 517 nt
Filed under: uncultured Pseudomonadota bacterium
Lineage: Bacteria; Pseudomonadati; Pseudomonadota
Description: bacterial SSU rRNA
Rfam family: Bacterial small subunit ribosomal RNA
Source: RNAcentral
AGAGUUUGAUCAUGGCUCAGAUUGAACGCUGGCGGCAUGCCUUACACAUGCAAGUCGAACGGCAGCGCGGGAGCAAUCCUGGCGGCGAGUGGCGAACGGGUGAGUAAUAUAUCGGAACGUGCCCUGUAGCGGGGGAUAACCUAUCGAAAGAUGGACUAAUACCGCAUACGCUCUACGGAGGAAAGCGGGGGUCGCAAGACCUCGCACUAUAGGAGCGGCCGAUAUCGGAUUAGCUAGUUGGCGGGGUAAAAGCCCACCAAGGCGACGAUCCGUAGCUGGUCUGAGAGGAUGAUCAGCCACACUGGAACUGAGACACGGUCCAGACUCCUACGGGAGGCAGCAGUGGGGAAUUUUGGACAAUGGGCGCAAGCCUGAUCCAGCCAUGCCGCGUGAGUGAAGAAGGCCUUCGGGUUGUAAAGCUCUUUCGGCAGGAACGAAAUGGUUCGUGCUAAUACCACGGACUGAUGACGGUACCUGAAGAAGAAGCACCGGCUACUACGUGCCAGCAGCCGCGGUA